AUGGAUGAUGUUCUGCAGGAAACCGAGGUUUGUGUUAAGAUUCAGCAGCCUGCAUCCUCAAUAGAACAAGAAAAAAGCCUCAGAUCCACUGUUUAUCCUUCUCAGAAAAAUGUUAGAUCACGUUCACUGGAAAAACUGCACAAAAGGCAUUUACAGAGGGAGCUUCUGAGGAUGGAAGGAAAUUCUCAUAAUGACACUACAAAGGAUGUAGUGUAAUCCUGAGGUAUGUAAGGAAUCCUAACAAUACUUUUUAAUAUAUUCAUGUACUUGUUCAAUACUCAAG
This 283-nucleotide long non-coding RNA is filed under the name Coturnix japonica (Japanese quail). Its description in RNAcentral is "lncRNA (ENSCJPG00005000053.1)". Lineage: Eukaryota; Metazoa; Chordata; Aves; Galliformes; Phasianidae. The record is from RNAcentral.